AGCGGACGCUGGCGGCAGGCCUAACACAUGCAAGUCGAACGGGCACCUUCGGGUGUCAGUGGCAGACGGGUGAGUAACACGUGGGAACGUGCCCUUUGGUUCGGAACAACUCCGGGAAACUGGAGCUAAUACCGGAUAAGCCCUUCGGGGGAAAGAUUUAUCGCCAAAGGAUCGGCCCGCGUCUGAUUAGCUUGUUGGUGAGGUAAUGGCUCACCAAGGCGACGAUCAGUAGCUGGUCUGAGAGGAUGAUCAGCCAGACUGGGACUGAGAACGGCCCAGACUCCUACGGGAGGCAGCAGUAGGGAAUUUUCACAAUGGACGAAAGUCUGAUGGAGCAACGCCGCGUGCAGGAUGAAUGCCUUCGGUUGUAAACUG
RNAcentral lists this ribosomal RNA (375 nucleotides) under uncultured bacterium. Its description in RNAcentral is "bacterial SSU rRNA". It matches the Rfam family "Bacterial small subunit ribosomal RNA", at positions 29 to 432 of the family's 1533-position model. The record is from RNAcentral.